CGUGUCGUGAGAUGUGGUUAAGUCCGUAACGAGCGCAACCCUUGUCCUUAGUUACCAGCACGUUAUGGUGGGCACUCUAAGGAGACUGCCGGUGACAACCGGAGGAAGGUGGGGAUGACGUCAAGUCAUCAUGGCCCUUACGGCCUGGGCUACACACGUGCUACAAUGGUCGGUACAAAGGGUUGCCAAGCCGCGAGGUGGAGCUAAUCCCAUAAAACCGAUCGUAGUCCGGAUCGCAGUCUGCAACUCGACUGCGUGAAGUCGGAAUCGCUAGUAAUCGUGAAUCAGAAUGUCACGGUGAAUACGUUCCCGGGCCUU
RNAcentral lists this ribosomal RNA (318 nucleotides) under uncultured Pseudomonas sp. RNAcentral describes it as "bacterial SSU rRNA". It matches the Rfam family "Bacterial small subunit ribosomal RNA", at positions 1061 to 1382 of the family's 1533-position model. The record is from RNAcentral. Lineage: Bacteria; Pseudomonadati; Pseudomonadota; Gammaproteobacteria; Pseudomonadales; Pseudomonadaceae.